GACGAACGCUGGCGGCGUGCUUAACACAUGCAAGUCGAACGGAAAGGCCCUGCUUUUGUGGGGUGCUCGAGUGGCGAACGGGUGAGUAACACGUGAGUAACCUGCCCUUGACUUUGGGAUAACUUCAGGAAACUGGGGCUAAUACCGGAUAGGAGCUCCUGCUGCAUGGUGGGGGUUGGAAAGUUUCGGCGGUUGGGGAUGGACUCGCGGCUUAUCAGCUUGUUGGUGGGGUAGUGGCUUACCAAGGCGUUGACGGGUAGCCGACCUGAGAGGGUGACCGGCCACACUGGAGCGUGAACACGCACCUUGCGACUGCGGGAGGGACCAGUAUCGAACGUGACGCAGCAGGCGGGAACAUUACGGAGUGGGCGCGCGCGUGUUGCAGCAAUCCUGGGUGCGGAAUACCGGCCUAUGGGUUAUAAACCAAUUUGUAAUGUGCCGAAGAGUGCUUGACGGUACCGAGUCAAGAAGCCACGGCUAACUACGUG
This 488-nucleotide ribosomal RNA is filed under the name uncultured bacterium. RNAcentral describes it as "partial 16S ribosomal RNA". It matches the Rfam family "Bacterial small subunit ribosomal RNA", at positions 28 to 507 of the family's 1533-position model. The record is from RNAcentral.